UCUCACUUUGACAAACGGUGAGA
This 23-nucleotide small nuclear RNA is filed under the name Arabidopsis thaliana (thale cress). Its description in RNAcentral is "snRNA_03014". Lineage: Eukaryota; Viridiplantae; Streptophyta; Magnoliopsida; Brassicales; Brassicaceae. The record is from RNAcentral.